GACGAACGCUGGCGGCGCGCCUAACACAUGCAAGUCGAACGGAGCUUAGAGAGCUUGCUUUUUAAGCUUAGUGGCGAACGGGUGAGUAACGCGUGAGUAACCUGCCCUGGAGUGGGGGACAACAGUUGGAAACGACUGCUAAUACCGCAUAAGCCCACGGUACCGCAUGGUACAGUGUGAAAAACUCCGGUGGUGUGAGAUGGACCCGCGUCUGAUUAGCUAGUUGGCAGGGUAACGGCCUACCAAGGCGACGAUCAGUAGCCGACCUGAGAGGGUGACCGGCCACAUUGGGACUGAGACACGGCCCAGACUCCUACGGGAGGCAGCAGUGGGGAAUCUUCCGCAAUGGGCAAAGCCUGACGGAGCAACGCCGCGUGAGUGAUGACGGCCUCGGGUUGUAAA
RNAcentral lists this ribosomal RNA (402 nucleotides) under uncultured bacterium. Its description in RNAcentral is "bacterial SSU rRNA". It matches the Rfam family "Bacterial small subunit ribosomal RNA", at positions 28 to 429 of the family's 1533-position model. The record is from RNAcentral.